This 291-nucleotide small RNA is filed under the name Deinococcus gobiensis I-0. Its description in RNAcentral is "hypothetical noncoding RNA". The record is from RNAcentral. Lineage: Bacteria; Thermotogati; Deinococcota; Deinococci; Deinococcales; Deinococcaceae.
GUCAGACGAUGACCGGCUGGCCACGCGUGUAGGUGGGUCCGUCUGCGUACGAGAUGGCAUUGACCAGCUCAGCUCGCCGGUGGCCAGGGUUACCAGCACCUCGUCCCCACCAUACGGCUGCUCGUACGUGUCACGCAGGUACGCGCCGAUCGGCUUGGGCGAAGGGGGACCCAUCCUGAGCGCAGCCGGAGAGCAGCAGGGGCAGCGCGAGCAGGAUGGGGAGUCACCAAUGGCGGGUCGGGCGUUGGGUCCAAGGCAUACUUUGACCCACCAUAUCUGCACUUCUGUACA